GGUGAGUAACACGUGGGCAACCUGCCCUGCAGACUGGGAUAACUUCGGGAAACCGGAGCUAAUACCGGAUAACACCGAAAACCGCAUGGUUUUCGGUUGAAAGGCGGCUUUUAGCUGUCACUGCAGGAUGGGCCCGCGGCGCAUUAGCUAGUUGGUGAGGUAACGGCUCACCAAGGCGACGAUGCGUAGCCGACCUGAGAGGGUGACCGGCCACACUGGGACUGAGACACGGCCCAGACUCCUACGGGAGGCAGCAGUAGGGAAUCUUCCGCAAUGGACGAAAGUCUGACGGAGCAACGCCGCGUGAGCGAAGAAGGUCUUCGGAUCGUAAGGCUCUGUUGUCAGGGAAGAACAAGUACCGUUCGAACGGGGCGGUACCUUGACGGUACCUGACGAGGAAGCCACGGCUAACUACGUGCCAGCAGCCGCGGUAAUACGUAGGUGGCAAGCGUUGUCCGGAAUUAUUGGGCGUAAAGCGCGCGCAGGCGGUUCCUUAAGUCUGAUGUGAAAUCUCGCGGCUCAACCGCGAGCGGCCAUUGGAAACUGGGGAACUUGAGUGCAGGAGAGGGGAGCGGAAUUCCACGUGUAGCGGUGAAAUGCGUAGAGAUGUGGAGGAACACCAGUGGCGAANGCGGCUCUCUGGCCUGUAACUGACGCUGAGGCGCGAAAGCGUGGGGAGCGAACAGGAUUAGAUACCCUGGUAGUCCACGCC
This 712-nucleotide ribosomal RNA is filed under the name uncultured bacterium. Its description in RNAcentral is "bacterial SSU rRNA". It matches the Rfam family "Bacterial small subunit ribosomal RNA", at positions 105 to 801 of the family's 1533-position model. The record is from RNAcentral.